Long non-coding RNA from Gadus morhua (Atlantic cod), 768 nucleotides. RefSeq lists it as uncharacterized. The record is from RefSeq and is a predicted model, not a curated record. The transcript has 2 exons. NCBI's taxonomy places the organism in Eukaryota, Metazoa, Chordata, Actinopteri, Gadiformes, Gadidae.
GUAACGGGUAUAAGAAAUACUCUGAUUAUUUUAUUGAAAUCCCUGCAAAAAUAUGUAUAUCGCCUGUAUAUUGCCUUGUAAUGAGGGGUUCAAUUGCGCCAUCUGCUGGUACCUGGAAGUCUACAUAUAUGACCGCAACCCGAGUGCUCUUAGUAGUCUUGUAGUUCUCUGCUAGGACUAAACCAGUGGAGGUGCUAAACUACAAAUUGUGUAUAUGUGUGUCUACCACUCAUUACAGGUAAUAAUUGUGUUGUAAUUGUGUGUUUAAAGUGUCAGGACGUUUGCGUUUCGGGUUUUGUCGGCCAGCAUGUUGUCCGCCAUGUUUGAAAAAGGGACAACGUGGCCUUUGUGAUUUGAUGGUCACCACUAGUGGGUGCUGUUACAGUUUAAUCAUUUAUUUGAUGUUGCGUCUUGCAUUUAGUAUUUUUCUAUUGAUGAUUUCAUAAAUAUAUAAAAAAGAAUGAUGUUUGUUAAAAAACUCAUUCAGAAUAUAUUGGAUUGAAUUCAUUGUAAAAGCAGUAACGUUAAAACCCAGUUAAAACCACUAUACGAUCACAUGUUAAAAAGUAUUCUGUUAAAAACCAUUUUAAGUCACAUCUUAAAAUGUAUUUGUCAUGUAUGUCAUGUAAUUGUAAAAAGAUGUAAUGUACUUUAGUAGUCUUGUAGUUCUCUGCUAGGACUAAACCAGUGGAGGUGCUAAACUACAAAUUGUGUAUAUGUGUGUCUACCACUCAUUACAGCUCAGCUAUAAAGGAUCACAUCAUCCUA